GAUACUCUCUGGCUUGCUGGAGAGGAAGUGGCGCACGGGUGCGUAACGCGUAUGCAACCUACCUUAAUCAGGGGGAUAGCCCGAAGAAAUUCGGAUUAACACCGCAUAAAAUCACAGUACAGCAUUGUACAAUGAUCAAAUAUUUAUAGGAUUAAGAUGGGCAUGCGUGACAUUAGUUAGUUGGCGGGGUAACGGCCCACCAAGACCACGAUGUCUAGGGGAUCUGAGAGGAUGACCCCCCACACUGGUACUGAGACACGGACCAGACUCCUACGGGAGGCAGCAGUAAGGAAUAUUGGUCAAUGGAGGCAACUCUGAACCAGCCAUGCCGCGUGCAGGAAGACAGCCCUCUGGGUCGUAAACUGCUUUUAUUCGGGAAUAAACCUAUCUACGUGUAGAUAGCUGAAUGUACCGAAGGAAUAAGGAUCGGCUAACUCCGUGCCAGCAGCCGCGGUAAUACGGAGGAUCCAAGCGUUAUCCGGAUUUAUUGGGUUUAAAGGGUGCGUAGGCGGCUUUUUAAGUCAGGGGUGAAAGACGGUAGCUCAACUAUCGCAGUGCCCUUGAUACUGAAGAGCUUGAAUGGACUAGAGGUAGGCGGAAUGUGACAAGUAGCGGUGAAAUGCAUAGAUAUGUCACAGAACACCGAUUGCGAAGGCAGCUUACUAUGGUUUUAUUGACGCUGAGGCACGAAAGCGUGGGGAUCAAACAGGAUUAGAUACCCUGGUAGUCCACGCCCUAAACGAUGAAUACUCGCUGUUAGCGAUACACAGUUAGCGGCUAAGCGAAAGCGUUAAGUAUUCCACCUGGGG
RNAcentral lists this ribosomal RNA (809 nucleotides) under Pedobacter sp. RNAcentral describes it as "bacterial SSU rRNA". It matches the Rfam family "Bacterial small subunit ribosomal RNA", at positions 68 to 878 of the family's 1533-position model. Lineage: Bacteria; Pseudomonadati; Bacteroidota; Sphingobacteriia; Sphingobacteriales; Sphingobacteriaceae. The record is from RNAcentral.